Molecule: ribosomal RNA, 392 nt
Filed under: uncultured bacterium
Lineage: Bacteria
Description: bacterial SSU rRNA
Rfam family: Bacterial small subunit ribosomal RNA
Source: RNAcentral
AUUGAACGCUGGCGGCAUGCCUAACACAUGCAAGUCGAACGGCAGCAUGAAGUGGAGCUUGCUCUACUUUGAUGGCGAGUGGCGGACGGGUGAGUAAUAUGUAGGAAUCUACCUUGAAGUGGGGGAUAACUUAGGGAAACUUAAGCUAAUACCGCAUAAUGUCUAAGGAAGAAAGCAGGGGACCUUCGGGCCUUGCGCUAUCAGAUGAGCCUAGGUCGGAUUAGCUAGUAGGUGAGGUAAUGGCUCACCUAGGCGACGAUCCGUAACUGGUCUGAGAGGAUGAUCAGUCACACUGGAACUGAGACACGGCCCAGACUCCUACGGAGGCAGCAGUGGGAAUAUUGGACAAUGGGGGCAACCCUGAUCCAGCCAUGCCGCGUGGAUGAUGAAGG